Molecule: long non-coding RNA, 441 nt
Filed under: Zalophus californianus (California sea lion)
Lineage: Eukaryota; Metazoa; Chordata; Mammalia; Carnivora; Otariidae
Description: lncRNA (ENSZCAG00015009798.1)
Source: RNAcentral
UUUUACUUUAAGAGAAAUUGUUAGUAGACCCCAAACAACUCACAAAACCCAAGUGUCUUAUUUUUCUGUUGUAGUUUACAUCUUUGGCAUUUGUUCAUUUUCAGCAUAUUCUGACAUUCUGCAGUUGACACGUCUGUGCCCAUGACUGUAAUGUUCUUUUGUCCGAUGCAGAGGCUCCCUGGUUUGCUCACAGCGAGGUCAUCAUCUCAGGGUCAUGCGAUCAAGCCCUGCAUCGGGAUCCAUGCUGAGCAUGUAACCUGCUUAAGAUUCUUUCUCUGCCUGGACGCCUGGGUGGCUCAGUCAGUUUAAGCGACUGCCUUCGGCUCAGGUCAUAAUCCUGGAGUCCUGGGAUCGAGUCCCACAUCGGGCUCCCUGCUCGGCAGGGAGUCUGCUUCUCCCUCUGACCCUCUUCCCUCUCGUGCUCUCUAUCUCUCAUUCUCU